This 896-nucleotide long non-coding RNA is filed under the name Androctonus crassicauda. The record is from RNAcentral. Lineage: Eukaryota; Metazoa; Arthropoda; Arachnida; Scorpiones; Buthidae.
AGCAUUAAAAUAAAGCUUCAAAAAUAAGAUAUUAGUGUCAAAAUGUAUUUAAAAAUCUGAAACAAGUUAAAACAAUUUUAUAAAAAAAAUUAAUAAACCAAAAUAUCAGUAUUAUCUAAAAAACAUGUAUUUAUAGUGAACAACUACUAUUGGUACAAGAAAUCAUUCCAGACUAGCACAAAAACACAUCACAGCAGCGAAGGGAUUUACUAUGCAAUGUUUAGUGGUAAAAACAGAUGGUAAGAUGGUAAUGUUUUUGCUAAUUGUAAGGACAUAGGAUAUAACAGCUUACUUUAGCCAUGUCUAGAUCUGUUAAACGUCAUGAUUUUAUAAUUAAGAACUGUGCCUAAAGUUAUGUAGUGUAUGAACUUAAGUGCUGUGCACUAGUAAUAGUUUAAGCCCCAAAGUCAAGUUUUGGAGAUUUGUGAUUAUGACUGAAAACAUGGUUUUUGGAAUGCACUUUGAUAUUAAGAGACUCUGUCAUGUGUUCCAUGAUUACUUUACUGUUAUUUCUGUUUUAUUCUAGUCCAGAGUUAAUCAAAUGCUCUUAUCCCUGUAUUAAUCCUACCCCCUCAUUAUCUUGCUGGUGUUCUCUUAUUUGGGUACCAAAUUGUGUUUAUUGCAUCUAUAUAUAUCUCUUUCUUUUUUCAGACUGUUAUCUAUCCAAAUUCCUAUUAGGAAUAUCUGAAAUCUCAUGUUGGGUUGAAUGGGUGGCUUAUCAUUUCUCAGAUAUUGGAUAACUUGUCCUUUUGUAUGUUGAUUCUUUGUUCAAAUCUUUCCAACAACCUGAGAUUCUUUUUGAUGGGUUCGUAAUACAAUUCAUAACUGUCUUAUCCAGAUUUUAUUUUUUUAUUGGUUUUUAACAUUAAACAUUGUAUAGUGGGUCUCUUUGCUGC